AGAGUUUGAUCAUGGCUCAGAACGAACGCUGGCGGCGUGCCUAACACAUGCAAGUCGAACGUGAUCCGGAGCUUGCUCCGGUGAAAGUGGCGCACGGGUGAGUAACGCGUGGAUAAUCUGCCUGAUGCUCUGGGAUAACAUCUCGAAAGGGGUGCUAAUACCGGAUAAGCCCACGGGGUCUUCGGACCUUGCGGGAAAAGAGGGGGACCUUCGGGCCUCUUGACAUCGGAUGAGUCCGCGUCCCAUUAGCUAGUUGGUGGGGUAAAGG
RNAcentral lists this ribosomal RNA (268 nucleotides) under uncultured bacterium. RNAcentral describes it as "partial 16S ribosomal RNA". It matches the Rfam family "Bacterial small subunit ribosomal RNA", at positions 8 to 263 of the family's 1533-position model. The record is from RNAcentral.